ACCGGCCUGCAAAGCAGGUGCGCGAUCCACGCUGGUUGAACCAACAUUCAUUGAACAGGGGCCUGGCUCGUAUACAUGGUUCGGUGUGCAAAGUCCGCCAGUCCGGAAUGCCUAAAGAACCACGGCAGGGUCCCGCCGUCUUAGGACGGGUUCACCAGCGCAUCGGCGCACGGCCCCGCGGGUCGGUU
RNAcentral lists this non-coding RNA (188 nucleotides) under Edaphobacter modestus. RNAcentral's name for it is "6S / SsrS RNA". It matches the Rfam family "6S / SsrS RNA". From Rfam's summary of the family: E. coli 6S RNA was the first non coding RNA to be sequenced, but its function was unknown until recently. It consists of 184 nucleotides that fold into an extended hairpin structure with a large single-stranded internal bulge. Lineage: Bacteria; Pseudomonadati; Acidobacteriota; Terriglobia; Terriglobales; Acidobacteriaceae. The record is from Rfam by way of RNAcentral.